AUACUCUGUUUGGUUGUUAAGUGGAUUAUUGGAACGAAAAUUCUUGCUUUGUCAAUUCCUAUUAGCUAAAAUAACUAAGAAGAUUGAUUCAAGUGGUUGACUGUAACCUUGCGUUCUCAUUGUUGCCAAAUAAAAUAAUGGUAAAUUGUCAACUUUUUCAGAGUUAUCUUGGCAACAACAAAAAGAAUUACUAGUUUUAAGGAACUAAGCCUCGUUACCUAGGAAUUACUAGAUUCUCCCAUGACAAUAAAGAGAAUGCCAUUUAUGCUACUUACUAAAUAGCAAUCAGUUUGAUAAUGCUUAUCUUAUAACUUCUUUUAUUUUUUAGUUUAUUUUGUCAUUUUAUUCCUUUAGAUUUUGCUAUUUUCUUGGAUAUGGUGUGACCAUCACUAAGGGAAGAUACAGGAUCCUGUGCACUAUAAUGUACAUCGUGUAUAUUUGUUCAGUGUUCACACAGAUUGUAUCUCAUAUCGUUUCUCCUUAAUCGCUAAUUAAAACUUUGAAAUUGAUAAUUUUGUUUUGAAAGCAAUGGAGAUUUUAGUUUCUCUGCUUUUAUGAGGCUAAAAUUUUCAAGUUAUUUUGUAUUCAUCGAAUAAGAGUUUUUGAUUAAAGAUAUAAAUGAUAACAAUAAGUGUGUUCCUUUUUACCUUUUCUCUUUGUUUGG
Molecule: unclassified non-coding RNA, 664 nt
Filed under: Hevea brasiliensis (rubber tree)
Lineage: Eukaryota; Viridiplantae; Streptophyta; Magnoliopsida; Malpighiales; Euphorbiaceae
Source: RNAcentral